Molecule: transfer RNA, 63 nt
Filed under: Cryptocephalus schaefferi
Lineage: Eukaryota; Metazoa; Arthropoda; Insecta; Coleoptera; Chrysomelidae
Description: tRNA-Phe
Source: RNAcentral
ACUUAAAUAGCUUAUAAAGAGCGUGGUAUUGAAGAUACUAAGGAGAAUUAAAUUUUUUAAGUA